RNAcentral lists this ribosomal RNA (253 nucleotides) under uncultured bacterium. Its description in RNAcentral is "partial 16S ribosomal RNA". It matches the Rfam family "Bacterial small subunit ribosomal RNA", at positions 524 to 776 of the family's 1533-position model. The record is from RNAcentral.
UACGGAGGGGGCGAGCGUUAUUCGGAAUUAUUGGGCGUAAAGGGCGCGCAGGCGGCUUCGUAAGUCAAAGGUGAAAUCCCUCGGCUCAACUGAGGAACUGCCUUUGAAACUGUGAGGCUUGAGGCCGGGAGGGGGUAGCGGAAUUCCCAGUGUAGCGGUGAAAUGCGUAGAUACUGGGAGGAACACCAGUGGCGAAGGCGGCUACCUGGACCGGUACUGACGCUGAGGCGCGAAAGCGUGGGUAGCAAACAGG